UCCUACGGGACGCAGCAGUAGGGAAUUUUCGUCAAUGGGCGCAAGCCUGAACGAGCAAUGCCGCGUGAACGAGGAAGGUCUUCGGAUCGUAAAGUUCUGUUGAAGGGGAAAAAGAGCGGAGAGAGGAAAUGGUCUCCGAUUGAUAUUACCCUUCGAGGAAGUCACGGCUAACUACGUGCCAGCAGCCGCGGUAAUACAUAGGGAGCAAGCGUUAUCCGGAAUUAUUGGGUGUAAAGGGUGCGUAGACGGGAAAUUAAGUUAGUUGUGAAAUCCCUUGGCUUAACUGAGGAACUGCAACUAAAACU
Molecule: ribosomal RNA, 305 nt
Filed under: uncultured bacterium
Lineage: Bacteria
Description: bacterial SSU rRNA
Rfam family: Bacterial small subunit ribosomal RNA
Source: RNAcentral